AGUGAACGCUGGCGGUAGGCCUAACACAUGCAAGUCGAACGGCAGCACAGUAAGAGCUUGCUCUUACGGGUGGCGAGUGGCGGACGGGUGAGGAAUACAUCGGAAUCUACUUUUUCGUGGGGGAUAACGUAGGGAAACUUACGCUAAUACCGCAUACGACCUACGGGUGAAAGCAGGGGAUCUUCGGACCUUGCGCGAUUGAAUGAGCCGAUGUCGGAUUAGCUAGUUGGCGGGGUAAGGGCCCACCAAGGCGACGAUCCGUAGCUGGUCUGAGAGGAUGAUCAGCCACACUGGAACUGAGACACGGUCCAGACUCCUACGGGAGGCAGCAGUGGGGAAUAUUGGACAAUGGGCGCAAGCCUGAUCCAGCCAUACCGCGUGGGUGAAGAAGGCCUUCGGGUUGUAAAUCCCUUUUGUUGGGAAAGAAAAGCAGCAGGUUAAUACCCCGCUGUUCUGACGGUACCCAAAGAAUAAGCACCGGCUAACUUCGUG
This 492-nucleotide ribosomal RNA is filed under the name uncultured bacterium. RNAcentral describes it as "partial 16S ribosomal RNA". It matches the Rfam family "Bacterial small subunit ribosomal RNA", at positions 29 to 507 of the family's 1533-position model. The record is from RNAcentral.